GCGGAUGUAGCUCAGUGGUAGAGCACCACGUUGCCAACGUGGCUGUCGAGGGUUCGACUCCCUUCAUCCGCUC
Molecule: transfer RNA, 73 nt
Filed under: Fuerstiella marisgermanici
Lineage: Bacteria; Pseudomonadati; Planctomycetota; Planctomycetia; Planctomycetales; Planctomycetaceae
Also listed under: 1 other name
Description: Fuerstia marisgermanicae tRNA-Gly
Rfam family: tRNA
About the family: Transfer RNA (tRNA) molecules are approximately 80 nucleotides in length.
Source: RNAcentral